This 89-nucleotide transfer RNA is filed under the name Staphylococcus aureus. RNAcentral describes it as "tRNA-Ser(gga)". It matches the Rfam family "tRNA". From Rfam's summary of the family: Transfer RNA (tRNA) molecules are approximately 80 nucleotides in length. Their secondary structure includes four short double-helical elements and three loops (D, anti-codon, and T loops). Further hydrogen bonds mediate the characteristic L-shaped molecular structure. tRNAs have two regions of fundamental functional importance: the anti-codon, which is responsible for specific mRNA codon recognition, and the 3' end, to which the tRNAs corresponding amino acid is attached (by aminoacyl-tRNA synthetases). tRNAs cope with the degeneracy of the genetic code in two manners: having more than one tRNA (with a specific anti-codon) for a particular amino acid; and 'wobble' base-pairing, i.e. permitting non-standard base-pairing at the 3rd anti-codon position. Lineage: Bacteria; Bacillati; Bacillota; Bacilli; Caryophanales; Staphylococcaceae. The record is from RNAcentral.
GGAAGGUUGUCCGAGCUGGCCGAAGGAGCACGCCUGGAAAGUGUGCAGGCGUCACAAGCGUCUCAAGGGUUCGAAUCCCUUACCUUCCG